Molecule: long non-coding RNA, 1453 nt
Organism: Perognathus longimembris pacificus (Pacific pocket mouse)
Lineage: Eukaryota; Metazoa; Chordata; Mammalia; Rodentia; Heteromyidae
Exons: 3
Source: RefSeq, a predicted model, not a curated record
UACAGAUAAUUCAAAGCUCUUCUCACCUUUUCUUCCCCUUCACAAAACUCUAGUUCGUGGAGACUUGGAAACUGGGUGGGAGAAAUAUGGUUUUCCAAAACUUAGAAGUUUAGUCCUGUUGGUUUGUGGCAGAAGAAGAGUAAAAAAGACAAAUAUUUACCCUUAACUGGGUGAGAUUAACUGAUAAUCUGUGUGACAGUGUCUGGAAGCUGUAUUUCCAAUGAGGCUUCUUUGCAGAGCUUCUGAUUUUCCUGGGUGGCCAUCUAGAUCAAGCUUUCUUCCAUUCCCCUUGCUGUGAUCUUAUGAUGGUAAGUUAGGGCUGGUUGUGACAGUAUUUACUUUAGUACUAUGGCAUUAUAUAGAAUGUGAAGAAUGUAGUACAUUUUAUUUUCAGCUUUGAGGCAUAAUCACAAUUAUAUGGCAAAGGGAGAACUCCCACUCAAUAUUAUAGUAGAAAUGUAUGUACAAAAAUCUCUAGCUAUAUGUGUGCUACUGUUGUGCUGUUGUUAGUUUAAUUCCUUGCUUAAGGUAUUGUUAAACCUCCAAGAGUAACCUCAUUAGAACAAAGGAUUAUCCUACCUUUUAGGAAAUUCUAAAUAGUUAGGGAGCUCUGUGCCAAGUCAUAAAAACACCAAACUAAAAUAGAGCUUUCAAUAAACAUGCCUACAAAAAUGACAAUUAGAUAUGAUAGAGAUAUAUCUAAUAAAUUCACAGGCAUUUCACUCUCAAGAUAUAUAUAUAUAUAAUAAUUCACACAAAUUAAUCAAACCUAAGGAGAUGGUCAUAAGAAUUCUGGUGUAUAGUCUAUCAGUCAGAAGGGACACUGACUACUACAUCUGAAGUGGGAAUCAGUCUUACGGUACUGAGUCCUCUGAUGUUAUCUCCAAGUAGCAGGUGUCAGAACUUAAUUAGAUGGUCAUAAACUGUAAUGUCCUUUCCUACACUGUCAGCUGGAGAAUUGACAGUACGGUAUGUUGGGAAAUAAAACUCAUAUAUCCAUUGCCAGAGGUAGUAUGUGUUGAGUGGUGCAUGGAUAGGGGAAAAGUUUGGUUUUCCCAUCUCUUAGCAGCAAAACACAAUGACUAGCACAUAAUAGAGUCAAUCACUUAAACGAUGACAACAAAUUAAUAUUAAGUACAGAGCUACCUUAUUAAGGAAAAUUUAUUCUAUCAUUCUCAGACUGGUUUUAUUAAAAGCAUUUUUAUGUAUCUGGAAUAACAUUUAAAAAGGAUAAACUUUACAAAAAGUUCAGGAAAAGUGGCAUGAAAAAUAAUGCAGUUUUGAAAACCCCCCAUUAUAAGAGAUCGUAGAGGCUCAAUUUCCAAAUGUAAUCAUGCUACUCAGUAUACCUGAUGUGGGAAACGAACUAUGUAACUUGUGGGCGGUGAUGUGCGCGGGAAGGAAGGGGUGACUGUCCAUAAAAAGCAAUCCGGGUGCUGGUGGCUCACACCUG